GUCCACGCCGUAAACGAUGUCAACUAGCCGUUGGGAGCCUUGAGCUCUUAGUGGCGCAGCUAACGCAUUAAGUUGACCGCCUGGGGAGUACGGCCGCAAGGUUAAAACUCAAAUGAAUUGACGGGGCCCGCACAAGCGGUGGAGCAUGUGGUUUAAUUCGAAGCAACGCGAAGAACCUUACCAGGCCUUGACAUCCAAUGAAUCUGCUAGAGAUAGCGGAGUGCCUUCGGGAACAUUGAGACAGGUGCUGCAUGGCUGUCGU
RNAcentral lists this ribosomal RNA (262 nucleotides) under uncultured bacterium. RNAcentral's name for it is "partial 16S ribosomal RNA". It matches the Rfam family "Bacterial small subunit ribosomal RNA", at positions 793 to 1055 of the family's 1533-position model. The record is from RNAcentral.